Molecule: ribosomal RNA, 421 nt
Filed under: Clostridioides difficile
Lineage: Bacteria; Bacillati; Bacillota; Clostridia; Peptostreptococcales; Peptostreptococcaceae
Description: bacterial SSU rRNA
Rfam family: Bacterial small subunit ribosomal RNA
Source: RNAcentral
UUUUAUUUGAGAGUUUGAUCCUGGCUCAGGAUGAACGCUGGCGGCGUGCCUAACACAUGCAAGUUGAGCGAUUUACUUCGGUAAAGAGCGGCGGACGGGUGAGUAACGCGUGGGUAACCUACCCUGUACACACGGAUAACAUACCGAAAGGUAUGCUAAUACGGGAUAAUAUAUUUGAGAGGCAUCUCUUAAAUAUCAAAGGUGAGCCAGUACAGGAUGGACCCGCGUCUGAUUAGCUAGUUGGUAAGGUAACGGCUUACCAAGGCGACGAUCAGUAGCCGACCUGGGAGGGUGAUCGGCCACAUUGGAACUGAGACACGGUCCAAACUCCUACGGGAGGCAGCAGUGGGGAAUAUUGCACAAUGGGCGAAAGCCUGAUGCAGCAACGCCGCGGGAGUGAUGAAGGCCUUCGGGUCGUAAA